This 239-nucleotide long non-coding RNA is filed under the name Gallus gallus (chicken). Its description in RNAcentral is "long non-coding RNA NONGGAT007998". The record is from RNAcentral. Lineage: Eukaryota; Metazoa; Chordata; Aves; Galliformes; Phasianidae.
UUCCAAGGUAACAGCUCCCCCUACAAAAAUCUGCUGCACUGAAGUCCAACAGUGGAAGAACAGCAUGACAUGGACCACAGCCCUGUGACAUUACAAGCGUGUAUUACAGCUGCCAGAUGGGCUCAGCUGACUCAUGCUCAGGAUCACUCCGACCAGCAGAUGUGAGGGAAGGAUGGAAUUUUGCCCAUGGUGUUAUUUUCUGCUUUCUUUCUGUACAACAGGAAAUAAUUUGCCUGCUG